This 252-nucleotide long non-coding RNA is filed under the name Lathyrus oleraceus (garden pea). RNAcentral describes it as "Pisum sativum (pea) long non-coding RNA (PSAT_LNC002542)". Lineage: Eukaryota; Viridiplantae; Streptophyta; Magnoliopsida; Fabales; Fabaceae. The record is from RNAcentral.
UACGAAAGGUGGUCUUAAUGCAUCAAUCAAACUAGAAAAUAACUAAAAACAAGAAAGAAACAUGAACAUAAAAAUGCAAGAAAAAUAAAGAAAAAUGCAAGAAAAUAAAACUUAAACCAAACAUUGUUCUCAAUGUUUAAGCUCAAGAAAGAGUGACUAGAACUCACAAGAACCUCAAUCCGGAGGCGGGAUCUACAACAUAAGUUAUUACAUCAUAGCUUGGACGUCUUCCAAGACCACUCCUUGCCAAUU